CUGGAAGGGACAACCAUAGCAUUCAUUAAAUUCAUUAAAGAUUGGAUGAAUUAAGAUAGGAUGACAUCGCUCUUGUGAUUUCUGACCUAUCCUCAUUCCGGGCAUUUGAAUUUCUUCUCUCGAUUGAGAUUUUUCGAGUUCAGAAUUAACUAUUUUCUAGAAUCGAUUUGGAGAAUUUCUCAGGUUCGUAAUUAUCGCAGGAAAUGGGAAAUGAAGGGAUAAGCUUGAGCUUAAAGCAGUCAAAGAUGGCGCUAUUAUGUACAUUGCUUUGGAUAAAAAGGCUCUUUUAUAUGAAAAACUUACAAGGGCAGAGCUUUCAUAUGAAUAAGUAGAACUGUAGAAGAGAAGUACUAUGUAGAUUUCUUUAGGAAAGGAAUUGAUCAUGAAGAAGAUUUACCACCAUUAAAUACCUGCAACAAUUCCAUUUCAGCACCACCAGAAGAUUUAAAACCAGAUGGAGAAGACGAAGGUUCUCUGUUUAACACCAAAUUUGCGGGACUUUGAUGCGCAAUUAGGACAGCUGAUAUAAGUCAACACGUGCAUAUGUUCAGGAAAACUACAUUGUUGUCUCAUUUUCUCCAUUAGUCAUAUGUCUGAUACAUAACACAAAGAAGGAGAGAAGGAAGCAAGCGAAUUGUUAUAGAUUUUACAUUUUUACUCUGCUUUUAUCAAGUGAAUCAACAUAUAUCUCUUGCUAAUCUUCUUGUUGAAAAAUCUGUGCAGAGAGGUUCGUGAAGAAGUGAAUUAAACGAGAGAAAAUGCAACAUAAUUGAAAUUGGAUGUUUAUACAGUUAGUAUUGUAUGUUUUAUUUUACUUAA
Eutrema salsugineum is the source of this 819-nucleotide long non-coding RNA. RefSeq lists it as uncharacterized. NCBI's taxonomy places the organism in Eukaryota, Viridiplantae, Streptophyta, Magnoliopsida, Brassicales, Brassicaceae. The transcript has 2 exons. The record is from RefSeq and is a predicted model, not a curated record.